Non-coding RNA from Bos taurus (domestic cattle), 73 nucleotides. The record is from Rfam. Lineage: Eukaryota; Metazoa; Chordata; Mammalia; Artiodactyla; Bovidae.
UCCCUGGUGGUCCAGUGGCUAAGACUCUGCACUCCUAAUGCAGGAGGGCUGGGUUUGAUCCCUGGCCAGGGAA